GAUGAACGCUGGCGGCGUGCCUAAUACAUGCAAGUCGAGCGAACAGACGAGAGUGCUUGCACUCUCUGACGUUAGCGGCGGACGGGUGAGUAACACGUGGGUAACCUACCUAUAAGACUGGGAUAACUUCGGGAAACCGGAGCUAAUACCGGAUAAUAUUUAGCUUCGCAUGAAACAAUAGUGAAAGACGGUUCUGCUGUCACUUAUAGAUGGACCCGCGGGGUAUUAGCUAGUUGGUGAGGUAACGGCUCACCAAGGCCACGAUCCAUAGCCGACCUGAGAGGGUGAUCGGCCACACUGGGACUGAGACACGGCCCAGACUCCUACGGGAGGCAGCAGUAGGGAAUCUUCCGCAAUGGACGAAAGUCUGACGGAGCAAUGCCGCGUGAGUGAAGAAGGUUUUCGGAUCGUAAAACUCUGUUGUAAGGGAAGAACAAGUACGUUAGUAACUGAACGUACCUUGACGGUACCUUAACAGAAAGCCACGGCUAACUACGUG
RNAcentral lists this ribosomal RNA (499 nucleotides) under uncultured bacterium. Its description in RNAcentral is "partial 16S ribosomal RNA". It matches the Rfam family "Bacterial small subunit ribosomal RNA", at positions 28 to 507 of the family's 1533-position model. The record is from RNAcentral.